UUGAACGCUGGCGGCAGGCCUAACACAUGCAGGUCGAACGGUAACAGGGAUCAGCUUGCUGAUUCGCUGACGAGUGGCGGACGGGUGAGUAAUGUCUGGGAAACUGCCUGAUGGAGGGGGAUAACUACUGGAAACGGUAGCUAAUACCGCAUAACGUCGCAAGACCAAAGAGGGGGACCUUCGGGCCUCUUGCCAUCGGAUGUGCCCAGAUGGGAUUAGCUAGUAGGUGGGGUAACGGCUCACCUAGGCGACGAUCCCUAGCUGGUCUGAGAGGAUGACCAGCCACACUGGAACUGAGACACGGUCCAGACUCCUACGGGAGGCAGCAGUGGGGAAUAUUGCACAAUGGGCGCAAGCCUGAUGCAGCCAUGCCGCGUGUAUGAAGAAGGCCUUCGGGUUGUAAAGUACUUUCAGCGGGGAGGAAGGGAGUAAAGUUAAUACCUUUGCUCAUUGACGUUACCCGCAGAAGAAGCACCGGCUAACUCCGUG
This 489-nucleotide ribosomal RNA is filed under the name uncultured bacterium. RNAcentral describes it as "partial 16S ribosomal RNA". It matches the Rfam family "Bacterial small subunit ribosomal RNA", at positions 30 to 507 of the family's 1533-position model. The record is from RNAcentral.